GUCUAUAGGGUUCCCUUUGAGCGAAACUCUGCACGACACAAAGACCUACGUUACGAGUAUGUGCAAAGGAUAUUACAGUUGGACGCGAUGGCCAGACCUCAUGAAUACCUCUUCCUGGAUGAGGCUGGCUUCAACCUGCAGAAACGAAGGCAAAGAGGCCGUAACAUCAUUGGCCAAAGAGCCAUCACUGAGGUUCCUGGCCAACGGGGGGGUAAUAUUACUCUUUGUGCGGCCAUGGGUUUGGAGGGGCUUGUCCACCGGCAGGCUGUCCUUGGGUCUUACAACACCCAACGUCUCCUAACCUUCCUAGAGGAGCAAAAAGAUGUCCUCCUCCUGUCCGCCAAAAACACCCUCCUGGGCCCGAACAUCCCAUUUAUGUGAUCAUUUGGGACAAUGUACGCUUCCACAGAACAAACCAAAUCAGAGAGUGGUUCACCACCAACAGUAACCACUUUUUAAACAUCUGUCUGCCACCCUACUCCCCUUUCCUGAACCCUAUAGAGGAGUUCUUCUCAUCGUGGAGAUGGAAGGUUUAUGACAGACAACCAUACACUAGAGAGAACCUCCUAAGGGCAAUGGAGCUGGCGUGUGUUGACAUCCCAGUGGAGAACUUCCAAGGAUGGAUCCGCCAUUCCAGGGCGUUCUUCCCGCGGUGCCUGGCAAGAGACAAUAUAGCCUGCGAUGUGGAUGAGGUGAUGUGGCCCGAUGCAGCUCAGCGACAUGAUGCCGCACAGUGAUUGUGGUGUAAAUAAAA
Molecule: long non-coding RNA, 754 nt
Organism: Micropterus dolomieu (smallmouth bass)
Lineage: Eukaryota; Metazoa; Chordata; Actinopteri; Centrarchiformes; Centrarchidae
Exons: 2
Source: RefSeq, a predicted model, not a curated record